This 68-nucleotide ribosomal RNA is filed under the name Evansella caseinilytica. RNAcentral's name for it is "Bacillus caseinilyticus 16S rRNA. Bacterial SSU". It matches the Rfam family "Bacterial small subunit ribosomal RNA", at positions 1 to 66 of the family's 1533-position model. The record is from RNAcentral. Lineage: Bacteria; Bacillati; Bacillota; Bacilli; Caryophanales; Bacillaceae.
CUUUAUCGGAGAGUUUGAUCCUGGCUCAGGACGAACGCUGGCGGCGUGCCUAAUACAUGCAAGUCGAG